GCAGCAGUAGGGAUCUUCCGCAAUGGGCGAAAGCCUGACGGAGCAACGCCGCGUGAGUGAUGAAGGGUUUCGGCUCGUAAAACUCUGUUAUUAGGGAAGAACAAAUGUGUAAGUAACUGUGCACAUCUUGACGGUACCUAAUCAGAAAGCCACGGCUAACUACGUGCCAGCAGCCGCGGUAAUACGUAGGUGGCAAGCGUUAUCCGGAAUUAUUGGGCGUAAAGCGCGCGUAGGCGGUUUCUUAAGUCUGAUGUGAAAGCCCACGGCUCAACCGUGGAGGGUCAUUGGAAACUGGGAAACUUGAGUGCAGAAGAGGAAAGUGGAAUUCCAUGUGUAGCGGUGAAAUGCGCAGAGAUAUGGAGGAACACCAGUGGCGAAGGCGACUUUCUGGUCUGUAACUGACGCUGAUGUGCGAAAGCGUGGGGAUCAAACAGGAUUAGAUACCCUGGUAGUCCACGCCGUAAACGAUGAGUGCUAAGUGUUAGGGGGUUUCCGCCCCUUAGUGCUGCAGCUAACGCAUUAAGCACUCCGCCUGGGGAGUACGACCGCAAGGUUGAAACUCAAAGGAAUUGACGGGGCCCCC
RNAcentral lists this ribosomal RNA (583 nucleotides) under Staphylococcus sp. RNAcentral describes it as "bacterial SSU rRNA". It matches the Rfam family "Bacterial small subunit ribosomal RNA", at positions 348 to 923 of the family's 1533-position model. The record is from RNAcentral. Lineage: Bacteria; Bacillati; Bacillota; Bacilli; Caryophanales; Staphylococcaceae.